Leptonychotes weddellii (Weddell seal) is the source of this 1807-nucleotide non-coding RNA. The record is from RefSeq and is a predicted model, not a curated record. NCBI's taxonomy places the organism in Eukaryota, Metazoa, Chordata, Mammalia, Carnivora, Phocidae.
UUCGCCAGUAUUCCGAGUUCUCACCGUGGGAGUUCUCGGGUGGCACGUCUGCAUCUGCAUCCUGGGCGGGGACACUGGCUGCCUCGAAUCUUCGAGCACGGGGAGCUGCUGGGAGAGCGCGACUGCGUGAGGGCCUCAAGGCGCCCUGGCCAUCGGGAGCAGGAUGGGGGCGUGGACCCCCUCCUCCGCUCGGUGAGGGUAUCCAGGCCGCAGCUGGAAACCCGACCUUGAGCCACAGGCUCCAGCACACGGCCUUAGGUGGGCCGGGCCCCAGACGGAUCCCCAGUGUCUGUGUCCUGCCGCGCCCUGUGCUCGGGCCGGGCUCUGGAGCCAUCGAUGGCCUCUUGAGCUGCAGCAGGUGGCCAGUUCAUCGUUUGAUGGGCUCCUAAGGCCGGCAUCCCCAGGGAGGCAAGAAGAGGGCCACCCCGCAACCCCCUUUGCUCUGCCAACUUCCUUUCUGGUGGCUCCAUAUUUCUCUGGAAGUCUCUUCUGGCUGCCGGUGCCUCAAGACCAGCCUUUCCGGGCUAUCGGAACGGCCCGAGAGGGAAAAAAAGGCAGUAUUUCUUCUUUCCUCCGUGGCAUCGUGGGGCCCUCUGUGAGGUGCAGUUUCUCUGCCUCCCCCCCAGAACAAAGGACCCUCCUUCCAGGCCCUGCUCAGAGUAGGCGGAAGUACAGACCGGACACUGCGGAGGACCCCCAUGGGGAGAAGCCCACGGAGGGCCAACAGGGGUGCAGUGAGGACGGUCUGACGUGACCCCAAGGUCAUGAGCAGCUCCUGAUCAGACCCAGGCAGGCCCCUGUGUGGACUACUCACUGCCACAUGGGGGGUGACAUGUGCAACAUGGUGCCAGACAAAUAGGAUCCCAUCGGCUUUGCACCACUUGUGAGUCUUCAGUCACCCCAACAAACCCGGAGUGUCAACAAUCCCCUGAGAGCGGUGAGUGCCCCGCCCGUGCCCUCGAAGCUUCCUGCAGCCCUGGGAGGAGUGGCAGUUCCAGCCAGGGCCCUUGUUGCCCCAACAGAACCCAACGUGGGCUCAGUCUCGCAGAAACGGCGUUUAUCAGAAGGAUACCAAGUGGCUCACAGAAUCAACAGAAAGAGAAAACAGGCCCGUGAAGUGGGCAGGGACCCAGGGAGGGUGGCAGCUGGGACUGUCCCCAUCCAGACCUUCCUCCCAGAAGCUCACUGAGGCCUUGGCCGGUGAGGACACUGACCAGUAGAAGCAACUGCGGCGUGGCGGAGAGGACACUGUCCUCUGUGGCUCACUGUCCACGUGGCUCCCGUGGCUCGGCGGAUGGCGGGUGGAACGACGUCAGAGGGGGUCCAUUGGAAAUGCCAGCUGCUGCCAAGGCUCGGGCUGCCUGUCUGUGCCUUAACUCCGACGUGCCCUCUGGGUUGUCUACUUAUUACCUGCGCCUUCCACACCGCUGUCUCGUCCCGCAGGGGCCGCGGGCGCCCACCCGGCACUGCGGGGCUCUGGGGGGGGGGGCACGCCCAAAAGGACGGCAUCCGCUGAGCCCCUGACCCUGCAGCUAGGGGCUGAUGAUGGGGAGCCGCAGUGAGCAGGUCACCCCACAAAGCCUUGUUCCCUUCCCUCCCUGUACCCUUCCUUCCACCAUCCAACCUCCCUCCUAGGCCCAUGUCUUGAAAUGAGAGGUUGAAAAUGUGUCCCACUGUAGAAAUGUUGGAGAGUAUGGAAGCACAGAGAUAAAAAUGAAAAAUAAAAGUUACCUAUAAUCCUGGCACCCAGAAAUAUCUUUCAUAAAGGGUUCAAUUUUAUAAGCAAAUCCUAACAUGUAUCAUAGCA